AACGAACGCUGGCGGCAUGCCUAACACAUGCAAGUCGAACGAGACCUUCGGGUCUAGUGGCGCACGGGUGCGUAACGCGUGGGAACCUGCCCUUAGGUUCGGAAUAACUCCCCGAAAGGGGUGCUAAUACCGGAUAAUGUCUUCGGACCAAAGAUUUAUCGCCUUUGGAUGGGCCCGCGUUGGAUUAGCUAGUUGGUAGGGUAAAAGCCUACCAAGGCGACGAUCCAUAGCUGGUCUGAGAGGAUGAUCAGCCACACUGGGACUGAGACACGGCCCAGACUCCUACGGGAGGCAGCAGUGGGGAAUAUUGGACGAUGGGCGAAAGCCUGAUCCAGCAAUGCCGCGUGAGUGAUGAAGGCCUUAGGGUUGUAAAGCUCUUUUACCCGGGAUGAUAAUGACAGUACCGGGAGAAUAAACUCCGGCUAACUCCGU
Molecule: ribosomal RNA, 432 nt
Filed under: uncultured bacterium
Lineage: Bacteria
Description: partial 16S ribosomal RNA
Rfam family: Bacterial small subunit ribosomal RNA
Source: RNAcentral